UGAAGCGCUGAAAAUCAUCAA
This 21-nucleotide non-coding RNA is filed under the name Caenorhabditis elegans. The record is from RNAcentral. Lineage: Eukaryota; Metazoa; Nematoda; Chromadorea; Rhabditida; Rhabditidae.